AAACAACCAAUUAUCUCGACACUUUAAUCAUUUGUUUUUCCCUUUGCAUGGAAAAACACUUUAAUCUCUUAAAAACAAUUUAAAAUGAGCUUUGUCUGAGAUUCAAAAUUGAUCUUACAAAGAUUCUAAACCCCAAACCAAAACCUAAACCUAAAACAUCACACAACUUCAGGCUUCAUGAGGAUUUGGCACAUAAAAGCUUCUCAUCUUCAACAAUUUCCCCCUAUUUGAUGGAGACAAAUUUGUGGGAUGCUUUUAGGAAUGUUCCUUGUUU
RNAcentral lists this long non-coding RNA (274 nucleotides) under Phaseolus vulgaris (common bean). RNAcentral describes it as "long non-coding RNA (PVUL_LNC005084)". The record is from RNAcentral. Lineage: Eukaryota; Viridiplantae; Streptophyta; Magnoliopsida; Fabales; Fabaceae.